UACCCUUUUAGUAUAAAUAGUACAAUUGACUUCCAAUCAAUUAGCUUCGGUACCACCCCGAAAAAGAGUAA
RNAcentral lists this transfer RNA (71 nucleotides) under Stenonycteris lanosa (long-haired rousette). RNAcentral describes it as "tRNA-Gly". It matches the Rfam family "tRNA". From Rfam's summary of the family: Transfer RNA (tRNA) molecules are approximately 80 nucleotides in length. Lineage: Eukaryota; Metazoa; Chordata; Mammalia; Chiroptera; Pteropodidae. The record is from RNAcentral.